Salvia splendens (bonfire salvia) is the source of this 1583-nucleotide long non-coding RNA. RefSeq lists it as uncharacterized. The transcript has 2 exons. Lineage: Eukaryota; Viridiplantae; Streptophyta; Magnoliopsida; Lamiales; Lamiaceae. The record is from RefSeq and is a predicted model, not a curated record.
AUCCCACCAAAACCAUCGGUCUCUCUCAUUCUUCAAAAAAAAAGUAAAUUCCCACAUUUAGGAUAUAAAUCCCUAGAUCCCCCUUUCUCUCGGCGAAAUCGCGCCGUCAGAUCCUCGGCGUCACAGGGUCUCCGGUGACUUGUUCUAGCACCCUCCGUCUCCGUCCAGCCCUCUCUUGGAUUCAUCGCCAGAAUCGGUUCACUUCACUGCGGCAUCACAGUGUGUCGCCGCCGUCGUCGCACAUCACCGGAGCUCGGCGGAUUCGCGCCGUCGGAACUGGGGAGGUGUCGCCUCCUUCCGCGCGCACAGCUCCACCGCCUCCGUGACUUCCUCCAUUUCUCUCGCUGAGUUCCAUCCCAAGGCGACACUGCGCCAGAACAGCCGCCGCCGUUGGCCGUGCACAGGCGGCGGUCUUGCUGCUGUCCUAGAAACUCCGUCGCCGCCGGCAGUCAAGUGUGCGGCGUCGACUUCGUCCUCUGAUGACCGAAGUCAGUAGCUGCCGUAGCGGCGCCUCUCCGUUUCUCAACCGACUACCAAGCUCACCUCCUCAACUCUCAAGCUAAGUCACCCCCCAUCUUUAAAUUUUAUCAUGUUGAGAGUUGGAUGAAAGGGGCAGUAGCACAUUUAUUUGGUUUGGGUAAGUUCUUAGAUUAGCAUAUUUUGGCUUGCUCGAUUCUUGUCUAAACCAAGAGUUUUUGCUCACUGAAAAGAAAGUUGGUUUCAUUGAGUAAUUGGUCUCGGCUUUGGGUUAUGAGCAUGUGAAGAUUUCUCUGGUUCGGUGUUCAUCAGUGUACAUGUUUAAAGAACUUAGGGAUUUAAGUUGGUAUGGAAUGUUUAUUUACUACUAAGCAUGAGACUGUUUCUAGUGUGGCUCCAGUUGUUUAUACUUUAUGUUGUGAUGUCCUUAUCACUAUCAUGCUGUGAUUCAUAGUAUGAGGUUCUACUACAUGAUGACAGGACAUAUUAUUUGAGCUUGAAAGGGAGGUGGAGGUUACCUUCUUGAUAAAGCAGUUCCUAACAGCAAACUUUCCAACUCUUGCUAUUUUGCUGGAAGAUUUUUUUUUCUAGUAUGUGGGAGGGGGUUUGAUGCGAAUGAAGGGUUUUCCUUUAUAAGCAACCAGUGGUGUACUUGGGAGAAAUUAAUGGCUGCCAAAACUCUUUGUUUUCUCUUUACUGAAAAUCCCUGUUGUGAUCCUCACCCCUCCUUUUACAUAACUGCAGUUUGGCUCCAUAUGGGUACUUAGUACUUAGUAAAUAAAUGAAAAUGUCUGUUGUGGAAGGUUCAUAGGCAUAAUGCAGGUGCUGCAAUGAGAAGUGGAGGUUGCAGGAUUUGACUUACUCUCUUUGGUGGGGAAGGUGUCUUGGCUGCUAUUAGGCUGACAGCUCCCCUCCAACAGGCCGAACUAACAGGCCUCGAAAUGGGUGUGACUUGGGCUUGCACGGACUAGGCCCAAAAGCAUUUCUAUUUUCUUAAAUUCCUUCCCAUCAACCUAUGUGUAAAAAGAAUGAUGUAAGUAGAGAGUAGUUUGAUAUGUAAUUAAACUUUCGAGUUCAGAAAUGUAACCUUAUAUUCUUUCUUGUCA